This 253-nucleotide ribosomal RNA is filed under the name uncultured bacterium. RNAcentral's name for it is "partial 16S ribosomal RNA". It matches the Rfam family "Bacterial small subunit ribosomal RNA", at positions 524 to 776 of the family's 1533-position model. The record is from RNAcentral.
UACGUAGGGUGCGAGCGUUGUCCGGAAUUAUUGGGCGUAAAGAGCGUGUAGGCGGCCAGACAGGUCCGUUGUGAAAACUGGAGGCUUAACCUUCAGACGUCGAUGGAAACCGUCUGGCUAGAGUCCGGAAGAGGAGAGUGGAAUUCCUGGUGUAGCGGUGAAAUGCGCAGAUAUCAGGAAGAACACCCGUGGCUAAGGCGGCUCUCUAGUACGGUACUGACGCUGAGACGCGAAAGCGUGGGGAGCGAACAGG